CUGGACGUCUCUGGACGCUGGUGGACGCUAAAAAACCUGUAUGGGGUGCAGGUGGUCGGAGGUUCAAAUCCUCUCGCCCCGACCA
Molecule: transfer RNA, 85 nt
Filed under: Gammaproteobacteria bacterium
Lineage: Bacteria; Pseudomonadati; Pseudomonadota; Gammaproteobacteria
Description: tRNA-Pro
Source: RNAcentral